Molecule: ribosomal RNA, 301 nt
Filed under: uncultured bacterium
Lineage: Bacteria
Description: partial 16S ribosomal RNA
Rfam family: Bacterial small subunit ribosomal RNA
Source: RNAcentral
CAGCAGCCGCGGGAAUACGUAGGGUGCAAGCGUUAAUCGGAAUUACUGGGUGUAAAGCGUGCGCAGGCGGUUGUGUAAGACAGGUGUGAAAUCCCCGGGCUUAACCUGGGAACUGCGCUUGUGACUGCACAGCUAGAGUAUGGCAGAGGGGGGUGGAAUUCCACGUGUAGCAGUGAAAUGCGUAGAGAUGUGGAGGAACACCGAUGGCGAAGGCAGCCCCCUGGGCCAAUACUGACGCUCAUGCACGAAAGCGUGGGGAGCAAACAGGAUUAGAUACCCCUGUAGUCCCUGUCUCUUAUAA